RNAcentral lists this transfer RNA (88 nucleotides) under Binatus sp. (SeqCode). RNAcentral's name for it is "tRNA-Ser". It matches the Rfam family "tRNA". Rfam says of the family: Transfer RNA (tRNA) molecules are approximately 80 nucleotides in length. Their secondary structure includes four short double-helical elements and three loops (D, anti-codon, and T loops). Further hydrogen bonds mediate the characteristic L-shaped molecular structure. tRNAs have two regions of fundamental functional importance: the anti-codon, which is responsible for specific mRNA codon recognition, and the 3' end, to which the tRNAs corresponding amino acid is attached (by aminoacyl-tRNA synthetases). tRNAs cope with the degeneracy of the genetic code in two manners: having more than one tRNA (with a specific anti-codon) for a particular amino acid; and 'wobble' base-pairing, i.e. permitting non-standard base-pairing at the 3rd anti-codon position. Lineage: Bacteria; Candidatus Binatota; Binatia (SeqCode); Binatales (SeqCode); Binataceae (SeqCode). RNAcentral also lists the same sequence under 1 other name. The record is from RNAcentral.
GGAGAGGUGCUGGAGUGGUCGAUCAGGCACGACUGGAAAUCGUGUAGGCGCUAACACCGUCUCGAGGGUUCGAAUCCCUCCCUCUCCG